CUUGAACGCUGGCGGCAUGCCUUACACAUGCAAGUCGAACGGCAGCACGGGAGCAAUCCUGGUGGCGAGUGGCGAACGGGUGAGUAAUACAUCGGAACGUGCCCAGUAGUGGGGGAUAACCCGGCGAAAGCCGGACUAAUACCGCAUACGACCUACGGGUGAAAGCAGGGGAUCGCAAGACCUUGCGCUAUCGGAGCGGCCGAUGUCAGAUUAGCUAGUUGGNGGGGUAAAAGCCCACCAAGGCGACGAUCUGUAGCUGGUCUGAGAGGACGACCAGCCACACUGGGACUGAGACACGGCCCAGACUCCUACGGGAGGCAGCAGUGGGGAAUUUUCCGCAAUGGGCGAAAGCCUGACGGAGCAAUACCGCGUGAGGGAGGACGGCUCUUGGGUUGUAAACCUUCUUUUAUCAGGGAAGAAGAUCUGACGGUACCUGAUGAAUCAGCAUCGGCUAACUCCGUGCCAGC
RNAcentral lists this ribosomal RNA (467 nucleotides) under uncultured bacterium. RNAcentral's name for it is "bacterial SSU rRNA". It matches the Rfam family "Bacterial small subunit ribosomal RNA", at positions 29 to 512 of the family's 1533-position model. The record is from RNAcentral.